GAUAGAGUAGAAUAAAAAGUUCAUUUCAUUUACACUGAAGGGGUUAAGAGGUCUUAUUCUGUUU
This 64-nucleotide transfer RNA is filed under the name Modiolus modiolus (northern horsemussel). Its description in RNAcentral is "tRNA-Val". The record is from RNAcentral. RNAcentral also lists the same sequence under 1 other name. Lineage: Eukaryota; Metazoa; Mollusca; Bivalvia; Mytilida; Modiolidae.